CAUAUUGGACAAUGGGGGCAACCCUGAUUCAGCCAUGCCGCGUGUGUGAAGAAGUUCUUCGGAUUGUAAAGUACUUUAAGUUGGGAGGAAGGGCUUUAGGUUAAUACCUUGAAGUUUUGACGUUACCAACAGAAUAAGCAUCGGCUAACUCUGUGCAAGCCGCCGCGGUAAUACAGAGGGUGCAUGCGUUAAUCGGAAUUACUGGGCGUAAAGCGCGCGUAGGUGGUUCAGUAAGAUGGGUGUGAAAUCCCCGGGCUUAACCUGGGAACUGCUUUCAUAACUGCUGAGCUAGAGUACGGUAGAGGGUAGUGGAAUUUCCUGUGUAGCGGUGAAAUGCGUAGAUAUAGGAAGGAACACCAGUGGCGAAGGCGACUACCUGGACUGAUACUGACACUGAGGUGCGAAAGCGUGGGGAGCAAACA
Molecule: ribosomal RNA, 422 nt
Filed under: uncultured bacterium
Lineage: Bacteria
Description: partial 16S ribosomal RNA
Rfam family: Bacterial small subunit ribosomal RNA
Source: RNAcentral